Pangasius djambal is the source of this 72-nucleotide non-coding RNA. The record is from the annotation of a GenBank genome assembly. Lineage: Eukaryota; Metazoa; Chordata; Actinopteri; Siluriformes; Pangasiidae.
UCCCCGGAGGACUAGUGGUUAAGCCUCGGCGCUCUUGCCUCUGCGGCCCAGGUUUGAAUCCAGACCAGGGAA